This 540-nucleotide ribosomal RNA is filed under the name uncultured bacterium. RNAcentral describes it as "bacterial SSU rRNA". It matches the Rfam family "Bacterial small subunit ribosomal RNA", at positions 355 to 896 of the family's 1533-position model. The record is from RNAcentral.
UGAGGAAUAUUGGUCAAUGGGCGCAAGCCUGAACUAGCCAAGUAGCGUGCAGGAAGACGGCCCUAUGGGUUGUAAACUGCUUUUAUACGAGAAUAAUUUGAUGCACGUGUGCGUUAUUGCAUGUAUCGUAUGAAUAAGGACCGGCUAAUUCCGUGCCAGCAGCCGCGGUAAUACGGAAGGUCCAGGCGUUAUCCGGAUUUAUUGGGUUUAAAGGGAGUGUAGGCGGUUUGUUAAGCGUGUUGUGAAAUUUAGGUGCUCAACAUUUAACUUGCAGCGCGAACUGUCAGACUUGAGUACACGCAACGUAUGCGGAAUUCAUGGUGUAGCGGUGAAAUGCUUAGAUAUCAUGAAGAACUCCGAUUGCGAAGGCAGCAUACGGGAGUGUAACUGACGCUUAAGCUCGAAGGUGCGGGUAUCGAACAGGAUUAGAUACCCUGGUAGUCCGCACAGUAAACGAUGGAUGCCCGCCGUUAGCGCCUGGCGUUAGCGGCUAAGCGAAAGCAUUAAGCAUCCCACCUGGGGAGUACGCCAGCAACGGUG